Molecule: ribosomal RNA, 503 nt
Filed under: uncultured fungus
Lineage: Eukaryota; Fungi
Description: eukaryotic LSU rRNA
Rfam family: 5.8S ribosomal RNA (bases 160-313)
Source: RNAcentral
AGGGAUCAUUACUGAGUGAGGGCCUUCUGGUCCGACCUCCAACCCCAUGUUAUCCAACACUGUUGCCUCCGGGGCGACCCGGCCUUCGGGCGUCGGGGCCCCGGGUGGACCAUUCAAACACUGCAUCUUUGCGUCUGAGUACACUAUUGAAUCAAUCAAAACUUUCAACAACGGAUCUCUUGGUUCUGGCAUCGAUGAAGAACGCAGCGAAAUGCGAUAAGUAAUGUGAAUUGCAGAAUUCAGUGAAUCAUCGAAUCUUUGAACGCACAUUGCGCUCCCUGGUAUUCCGGGGAGCAUGCCUGUUCGAGCGUCAUUAUCAACCAUCAAGCACUGCUUGGCAUUGGAUGCCGUCCCCCGUGGACGCGUCUUAAAUCCUUUGGCGGCGGUUACAUACCUCAAGCGUAGUAGAAAUUCUUAGCUUUCUAGGUUGUGGCUGCUUUGCCUCGAGAACAUCUCACCUCAAGGUUGACCUCGGAUCAGGUAGGGAUACCCGCUGAACUUAA